AGUGUAGGCGGCUUCGUAAGUCGGAUGUGAAAGCCCCGGGCUUAACCUGGGAAUGGCAUUCGAUACUGCGCGGGCUAGAGUCUGAUAGAGGGAAGUGGAAUUCCAGGUGUAGCGGUGAAAUGCGUAGAGAUCUGGAGGAACACCAGUGGCGAAGGCGGCUUCCUGGAUCAAGACUGACGCUGAGGCUCGAAAGCGUGGGGAGCAAACA
This 208-nucleotide ribosomal RNA is filed under the name uncultured bacterium. Its description in RNAcentral is "partial 16S ribosomal RNA". It matches the Rfam family "Bacterial small subunit ribosomal RNA", at positions 568 to 774 of the family's 1533-position model. The record is from RNAcentral.